CAGACUUCCAAAGAAUGCGUAUGUGGGAAUCAUCAUCGACCAGAAGACACUGUAACUGUGAUUGAAGUAGGAAUCUGUACAUUCUUGCUGGCAUCCUGACUGCCUCAGAGAGGCACCUUCAUCACCUCUGAGAUGGCAUCUGACAUUUCCUCCAGCCAGUUACAUGCAGGUGCCCUGUGCAUCAAGAAAGAUUGAAGGAGCACCUGGGUGGCUCAGUCAGUUAAACAUCUGCCUUUGGCUCUGGUCAUGAUCCCAGGUCCUGGAAUGGAGCCCUGCUUUGGGCUCCCUGCUCAGCAAGGAGCCUACAUCUCCC
This 313-nucleotide long non-coding RNA is filed under the name Vulpes vulpes (red fox). Its description in RNAcentral is "lncRNA (ENSVVUG00000029015.1)". The record is from RNAcentral. Lineage: Eukaryota; Metazoa; Chordata; Mammalia; Carnivora; Canidae.